GUAGGUGAACCUGCGGAAGGAUCAUUAUCACGUAUCCACGUAUAAACCAUUGUGAACCGUUUUCUACCUCCGCUGGUACAGCAAGUGCUUUUGAUGAAGAAAUAAAUGCAUUUAUUUGCAGCUGUCUCUUCUCAUCUGCACCUGCUGCUACUAUAGGAGUGUAUUCUACCAUAUUAACCAUUUUAACCAAUCUUUAUAACUUUAUGAACUAACUUUAUUUUAUACUCUUCGGAGAUAAAAUUCAUUACGAAACAAAGAACAACUCUUAGCAACGGAUAUCUUGGUUCUC
Molecule: unclassified non-coding RNA, 289 nt
Filed under: rhizosphere metagenome
Description: partial ribosomal RNA internal transcribed spacer region
Source: RNAcentral